RNAcentral lists this ribosomal RNA (301 nucleotides) under uncultured bacterium. Its description in RNAcentral is "partial 16S ribosomal RNA". It matches the Rfam family "Bacterial small subunit ribosomal RNA", at positions 510 to 808 of the family's 1533-position model. The record is from RNAcentral.
AGCCGCCGCGGGAAUACGUAGGGUGCGAGCGUUAAUCGGAAUUACUGGGCGUAAAGCGUGCGCAGGCGGUUUUGUAAGACAGGCGUGAAAUCCCCGGGCUCAACCUGGGAAUGGCGCUUGUGACUGCAAAGCUAGAGUGCGGCAGAGGGGGAUGGAAUUCCGCGUGUAGCAGUGAAAUGCGUAGAUAUGCGGAGGAACACCGAUGGCGAAGGCAAUCCCCUGGGCCUGCACUGACGCUCAUGCACGAAAGCGUGGGGAGCAAACAGGAUUAGAUACCCCCGUAGUCCCUGUCUCUUAUACC